This 373-nucleotide ribosomal RNA is filed under the name uncultured organism. Its description in RNAcentral is "bacterial SSU rRNA". It matches the Rfam family "Bacterial small subunit ribosomal RNA", at positions 527 to 896 of the family's 1533-position model. The record is from RNAcentral.
CGGGGGAGCAAGCGUUGUUCGGAUUUACUGGGCGUAAAGGGCGCGUAGGCGGCGUAACAAGUCACUUGUGAAAUCUCCGGGCUUAACCCGGAGCGGCCAAGUGAUACUGUUGUGCUAGAGUGCGGAAGGGGCUACUGGAAUUCUCGGUGUAGCGGUGAAAUGCGUAGAUAUCGAGAGGAACACCUGCGGCGAAGGCGGGUAGCUGGGCCGACACUGACGCUGAGGCGCGAAAGCCAGGGGGAGCGAACGGGAUUAGAUACCCCGGUAGUCCUGGCCUUAAACGAUGGAUACUUGGCGUCCGGGGUUACAUAGUCCCCGGGUGCCGGCGCUAACGCAUUAAGUAUCCCGCCUGGGGAGUACGGUCGCAAGACUG